UAACUUCAGAACAAACAAGAGAAAGAGAUAUACCCUUUUUUGCACGCCAAGCGUGGUAUUUGGUACAAUCUUUCUUCAUGUGAUUAGUCCCCUUACGGAAAAGCAACCUGAUUCUGUAGUUUCAACCUUAGGUUCCUUAUGUUGCUUCUUCUGGCCUUGCAACCGCAACUUCCUUAUUUUUCCUCUUCUUAUUAUCUUUAGAAGAGGAUGCCAAA
Molecule: long non-coding RNA, 215 nt
Filed under: Nicotiana benthamiana
Lineage: Eukaryota; Viridiplantae; Streptophyta; Magnoliopsida; Solanales; Solanaceae
Description: long non-coding RNA (NBEN_LNC030369)
Source: RNAcentral